UAACCUGCUCACAACCAACAGCCUCGCGAGGGAAUCAAAGCUCCCCACUGUCGCCGUAUGAAAUGAAGGCAUAGGUCUUUCUUACCAUGUACAAUACACUACACUCACCACAACAGAACAACAGAACACACACUCUACAUCCAGCUGUAAGUCCCAUGCAACACAUAUUCGUCAUCUCCCGAUAUGGAGAGAAUCCCGUGCUCCAACAGCCCAACACGAUAUGCAUAGCGUACCAAUAAGCACCAUAAUCAUGUAUCAGUAACCCUCAUGUAUGCCCCUCUACUCCCAGAGCCGAGGAUCUCACUCUCCACUGAUCAUCUGCUCUUAUCACCACCCACAGACGAUAAGAGAUUACGAUCUCAGCAUCCAUACCGAAAGGUAGAAGUGGAGCUCGCUUUAGCUGGUUAGUUAGUUCUCGGUUAACUGUCAAGCAGGCAGAACGCAGGAAAGUUCGUGGAGUGCACGUAGACGUGAGAUAGCCUGACCGCUGUAGAACAAAAUUUCCAUUUUUUAAUUCUGUGGCAAAAAGUGAAGUGGAAAGCUAAUUAAGCUUAUUGGGCUCAGAGCAAGCCGCAGAUGUUCACUACCUUUAUGCAUGCUGCUCUGUAGUGCUACAAUGGAGUAGAGGAGGAGGAUACAAUGAGAUCGGCCUUUCUAUCAUGACCAACUUGUGCGCCAGGCCGGGAAGGUGUCCUAGCACGAUCAUGGAUCGGUGUGCUAGCGUUGGAGUAGCUGGCACGUCGCCGGUGAAUUUGCUUCUGUCCGGGCAAGCAUGCUGUCCACCAAUC
This 788-nucleotide long non-coding RNA is filed under the name Aedes aegypti (yellow fever mosquito). RNAcentral's name for it is "lncRNA AAEL025506". Lineage: Eukaryota; Metazoa; Arthropoda; Insecta; Diptera; Culicidae. The record is from RNAcentral.